CUAGAUUCGCUCAUUUUUAAUAUAUUAAAAUUUGUCUAUUAUUUUAUACUAAUUAAAUAAAUUGAUAAAAUUAAUUUUAGAAAGAUAUUUGUCAAGGUGCAUUAUUGCAUCCUUGAAAUUUUAAAUAUUUCAGAAAGAUGCGUACGCCGCAUUCUCAAUUGAGACGAACAUUUUAAACAUUAUCUAGAAUUUGUCUAAUGUUAAAGGCGUUGGUUAGUCUAUUAUAAAUUCACAAUACCUAAAUUUACUCUUUUCAUUAAAAUUGUGACAGAUUUGAGAUUAGUCCGCAACUCACUCGCGCCCUUACAAAUGUGUUUUUCCUCUCUUCUCCUCUAAUAUUAUGAUAGAUCUUGAAUAAAUUCGUAACCUCUUUCACACUAAUUAUUAAGCCUUAGAAACUUGUUUCGACCCCCAAAUUAUAAAUACUCUUCUAAAUCCUCUUGAAAUAAUCAAUUAGAUAUUCAAUAACAAAACUCAACUAGCAAUUUAUGAAAUAAAAAUACAUUCGUUAAUUACAUUUUUUUAAAGUGUAGCGUAAUUACUAAACCUAUGAGACCCAUUUAAGAGAUCAUUAUUAAAGGGAUCACUAAUUAAAAAAUUUAAGCAUAGAUCACAAAACAUUAAUAUUUGGAUCAAUUUACACAAAAUUCCAAAAAAAAAUAAUAAAAAAAAAAAAAUCAAAACACCGUCUGUUUUUUAACAAGUAAAAACCAAAGCCAAUCAUGAUGGAAAAAGGGUCCACUGCCACAGAAAUUCCAUGAAUUAAAAGGAUUGUUUAUUUCCAUAAUAUAAUGAAAUUUCUUUUAGGGAAAAAGAUUUCAUUAAAUUACUGUAAAUCAAAACCACUCCACGGACAUUUCAUCAUUCAACAAUCACAGAUCCUAAACUUUGCCUACCCAACCUACCUUUUGCCUACCCAACUCGACCUAUCAUGGCACUAUCACGAUCGCCGGCGUCAAUGAAUCAAAACAACAAUAAAUCAAAAUUAAUUCUAAUUCACUUAACAACUUUUCAAUUCGCGCUCCAAAUCAACCAAUUUUAAUUCUCAAACGAGAUACAAUUUCAUCACACAAUCUAUAAUUAAUCCACAAUCAAGGGAAUCAAACAACGAAUCGAACAAAUAGCAAUUCAAUCACUAACCAAGAUUAAACCACACACGAAUUCAAUCCAACAUACCGAGUAUAAUAAAAGAUGAAAUAAAAAAAAAAAAAAAAAGAAAAGAGAAUUGGACCUCAGUUGAAGAUCUUAUUAUGCCAAAUUAUGUGAUCGAAAGACAAAGCUGGAUCUGAAAAAUCCCGAUUCGAAUCUCAAUCCCAACAGAACAGCCUUGAACAACCUCAAUACGAGCCUAAAUCUCCGACUUUGACUUGAACUUAAAUGGGUUCGCUGGAAUCGGAAUGGGUACUUGUUCGCGGCUCCAUUAGAGCUUAAAUGCUUCUUUCCUGUUUUAAUAUGUCUAACAAGGAAUUAUGCUGAAAAUAUAUAACUAAAGAAAUAGCAAGUAAGAAAAGAAAGAAUGUUGAUCUUUUCUAAAAGAAUGUUUUAGUAAAUUUAAGGAGUAUUUUGUGUUAGUAAAAUACCUAAAGAUGUAACUAGUAAAAAUACUAAGAAAUUCAAUUGAAGGUACGUAAAAAUAUUACGUCUUCUCUUUCUUCC
RNAcentral lists this long non-coding RNA (1656 nucleotides) under Capsicum annuum. Its description in RNAcentral is "long non-coding RNA (CANN_LNC010655)". Lineage: Eukaryota; Viridiplantae; Streptophyta; Magnoliopsida; Solanales; Solanaceae. The record is from RNAcentral.